Molecule: ribosomal RNA, 254 nt
Filed under: uncultured bacterium
Lineage: Bacteria
Description: partial 16S ribosomal RNA
Rfam family: Bacterial small subunit ribosomal RNA
Source: RNAcentral
UACGGGGGGGGGCAAGCGUUGUUCGGAAUUACUGGGCGUAAAGGGCUUGUAGGUGGCCAACUAAGUCAGACGUGAAAUCCCACGGCUCAACCGUGGAACUGCUUGGUAUACUGCCUGUCUUGAGCCACUUAGGGGCUGUCGGAACAAGCGGUGGAGCGGUGAAAUGCGUAGAUAUCAGGAGGAACACCAAUAGCGAAGGCAGCUCGCUGGGACGUUACUGACACUGAGGCGCGAAAGCGUGGGGAGCGAACAGG